Salarias fasciatus (jewelled blenny) is the source of this 116-nucleotide small nucleolar RNA. Lineage: Eukaryota; Metazoa; Chordata; Actinopteri; Blenniiformes; Blenniidae. The record is from Ensembl.
AGUGAGAGUGAUGAGUUGCACGAUUAAAAGUUGGGGUGUUUGUUGCAGUGGCAACAACGCACCAAUCCGAUCCCACCUGAGGACACGCUGUGUGCACAGGGGCCAUCUGACUCACU